Molecule: ribosomal RNA, 253 nt
Filed under: uncultured bacterium
Lineage: Bacteria
Description: partial 16S ribosomal RNA
Rfam family: Bacterial small subunit ribosomal RNA
Source: RNAcentral
UACGAAGGGGGCUAGCGUUGUUCGGAAUUACUGGGCGUAAAGCGUAUGUAGGCGGAUCGUUAAGUCGGUUGUGAAAGUCGGGGGCUCAACCCUCGGAUGCCGAUCGAUACUGUCAGGCUAGAGUCCGGAAGAGGCGAGUGGAAUUCCUGGUGUAGCGGUGAAAUGCGCAGAUAUCAGGAGGAACACCAAUGGCGAAGGCAGCUCGCUGGGACGGUACUGACGCUGAGGCGCGAAAGCGUGGGGAGCGAACAGG